RNAcentral lists this ribosomal RNA (27 nucleotides) under Blastobotrys ciferrii. Its description in RNAcentral is "Trichomonascus ciferrii 28S ribosomal RNA". The record is from RNAcentral. RNAcentral also lists the same sequence under 2 other names. Lineage: Eukaryota; Fungi; Ascomycota; Dipodascomycetes; Dipodascales; Trichomonascaceae.
ACACGUAAGAAUACCCGCUGAACUUAA